Molecule: long non-coding RNA, 1100 nt
Filed under: Salvator merianae (Argentine black and white tegu)
Lineage: Eukaryota; Metazoa; Chordata; Lepidosauria; Squamata; Teiidae
Description: lncRNA (ENSSMRG00000022523.1)
Source: RNAcentral
GAUAAGACACUCCCUGUCCUUCAAUGUAGCACAAGAGGAAAUGGGCUUGGGAGGGGUGGAAAGCAGGCAAGCAAGCUCAGACACUUUUUCUUAGUUACAGAUUCCUUGUAAUCAUCCGCUGGAAUGAAAAAUAGUCCCCUGCCAUGAAGCCCAAAGUGGUAAGCAUAUGGUUCUCAGGAAGUCUCCCAUUUAUUAACAAACUAGCUUCAGGCCUAGAUAACUCCAGGAAGGAGAUUAAAAAUUCAUUCUUACACUGACAGAGGAUCAGAUAAAUGUUGAACUGGAUCUAUCUGAGAAUGAAAAAAAGAAAGAAGAACGAUCGUAUGCAGGUUUCUUGGAAGCAGCCCUUGUUGUUACCAGUAGAGAAGCAGAAGAAUUGUACCAUGAGCAAAGAAGAGAGUGAGGAGCAGAGGGCAGCUCCCUUGGAACCAGUUCUUCCUUUCUUUGAUCUUAUCCAAACAUCACCAUCAGUUGUAGAGUUCAAGAAAGCCAAAAUGGGACAGCUAGCACCAAGGAUUGUAAUUCCUUUAACGGAACCUUCUAAGAAAUGGAGAAAGUUUCCUUACUCUCCUCAGUGGGUUAGUAUAUUGGAUGUAGCUCAAAAAAUCUUGGAUGAGGAAGACAGAUUGAAAAAGAAACAGAAGUACAGUAAAAGGGAAGAAGAGGAAACACAAACUAAUGAGAAUUUUGGGAAGGUGAAAGAAGAAAUUAAAAAGGAAACACCACCUAAACUGAGUGAUCUAGAUCUCCAACAAGCCACACCUAUUCAAGAUCUGCAACCUUUGCUGGAUCCAUUGCCACCUCUGGAGACCUCCUACCUGAAAGCAGAGAAUGAGAUCUUGACAGCAAAGGACAUUGAAGAUAUCAUCCAGGAAAUUGUGGCCAUCAGAGCUAAGGAGAGGCUCUCCGAAGGAACCUUAUUUCCUGAAGUAAGAGAGAAGUUUUUCUCUGAGAAUGCCUGUUCUGUUAAUACACAGAAACUGCACUAUCACAGGGAUGGCAGGAUGCAACACUGAGAUGGGUCUUCACAGAGCACCUACUGUCAAGAAACUAAAAUGUGCCUCGACAUCUUCAAAGUACCAUUAAAUAAUCAUUCCUGU